CAUUCAGAUUGAUGUUAUAUCUACGUAACCAACAUUAUAUAAUUAAACAAGCGUGAUCAUACAUGAAGAACUCUCCAAAUACUUCUUUACAGUAAAGGUAAUUUAAAAAUGUCUCGGUAAAGUAUACACCAAAGUUUGAAGAGCUUUUAAAAGUCUGGGAAGAUGUCAAGGAGUCUUGGUCGCCGAUAACAAUAAUAAACGGCAAUGGCGUAUGUUUUGACAAGACAGUGUAAAAAAUCUGACGGCAUAGAAAGAGCGACAGUAAAACGUUUGCCAAAACUCUGAUGUGAUCAUUUGGGGGAAGAAUGAAGAGGUAUCUUCCCUCUCGGAAUGCAGAUGAGUCGCCACGAAUUGUAAAUUAUUGGUUCUACGAUGAUAUUUCCAACCAUAAUUUCUGUUGUUUAAUUUUGAACUUAUAUACGAACGAAAUCUUGAAGAUUAUAUCACGGAAGAAGGCGAAGCAAUAACAGAAUUGCGCGCUCGAAAGGUGAUACGUCAAGUGUUGGAAGGGCUCCAGCAUUACAUGCUAGAAAUCAUAGAAUUUUGCACACAGACUUGAAGCUGACAAAUAUACUUGUUAGAGUGGAUGGAAAUAUAGCGCUGUCUGAUUUUGAUAUUCGAC
Molecule: non-coding RNA, 622 nt
Organism: Paramuricea clavata
Lineage: Eukaryota; Metazoa; Cnidaria; Anthozoa; Malacalcyonacea; Plexauridae
Source: the annotation of a GenBank genome assembly